Molecule: non-coding RNA, 151 nt
Organism: Sturnus vulgaris (Common starling)
Lineage: Eukaryota; Metazoa; Chordata; Aves; Passeriformes; Sturnidae
Source: RefSeq, a predicted model, not a curated record
GAUAAGGUAUAAUAAACAUCCAAGUCCGAACACAAGAAUCCAGCUCGAUUGCCUUUCUAAUAAUGCUGGCUCUGAACAGAAAUAGACGAGACUGAGACAAACCACUAAUUAGUGGUGCAAAAGCCCAUAUACACAUCUAAAAUACUUCAAU